Limulus polyphemus (Atlantic horseshoe crab) is the source of this 559-nucleotide long non-coding RNA. RefSeq lists it as uncharacterized. The record is from RefSeq and is a predicted model, not a curated record. NCBI's taxonomy places the organism in Eukaryota, Metazoa, Arthropoda, Merostomata, Xiphosura, Limulidae. The transcript is spliced from 2 exons.
AAGGUCACAGAGGACAAGCGACUUGCGCGUAACCUACCGUCAUUUAUGUAACAAGGAGGCUUAGAGCUGUUAGUCUAAGGGCUAAAAACAUAUAUACAAUUACAAGUUAAAGCUUAUAAAAUAAUUAUCUUUUUGAAUUUAAACUUUUUCUUUUUUCCUGUUUUAUCAUGUCGUUCGCUCUUCGUUUUGCUUCUCAAUCAGGAUCGCUUGUUUUAAGAAAUAUGUUUAUUCCAAAACGCAAUAUAGUAGUAGGGCCUCCUCGUAAUCGCGUCUCGUUGACUGAAAAAUUGGUUUUAGGAGGAGUUAUGGUAUCUCUGAUAUGUGCAGUACCUGUGUGGAUUAUGACUAAUCUCCAAGAUUACAAGAAAAGGGAAUAGUCGGAAAUAUAAUGUCUUAUAGAAUAAUAGGCCUAUUUCUGGAGAGACUUAUUAGCCGGAGCACUUUCUACCGAUGGCCUUGUUUGAAAACAUCUUUUUGAAGAUUUUCUCUCUAGCUAGUGGAAAAUUCCAAAGUUGUGGCAUGUACUUGAUAAAAUAAAAUAGAAAAUGAUUCUUGUUGA